GGGUUAUUAUGGGAGGUUUGUUGAGGGUUCUUACUUAUUGCAGCUUCUCUAACUAAGUUGUUGCGUAAGAACGCCCCAUUUGUCUAGACUGAUGAGCAGCAAUCGAGUUUUAAGAAGCUUAAAUCCGUUUUGACUCAGGCUCUUAUUCUGAUGCAGCCCAAAUUUCGAUAAGGAAUUCGUGGUUUUUAGUGAUGCAUCACAUAUUGGUUUCGGUUGUGUUCUGAUGCAAGACGGUCCUGACAGCUUAAGUUAUACGAGUGCAACUAUCCUACACACGAUCUUGACUUAGCUGUGGUUGUCUUCACCUUAAAGGUUUAGAGGCAUUAUCUGUAUAGUGAGAGGUGUAUCAUUUACACCGAUCAUAAAAGCCUCAAAUAUCUUCUUACUCAUAAGGAGUUAAACCUUAGGCAACGUAGAUGGAUUGAGUUGCUUAAGGAUUACGACUGUACUAUUGAGUAUCAUCCCAAUAAGGCCAAUAUAGUGGCCGAUACUUUUAGUUGUAGAGCAAUGUCUGAUUUGAGGGUGAUGUUUUCUCGCCUAAGUCUGUUUGAUGAUGGGAGUCUGUUAGUCGAGUUGCAAGUUAAGCCGACUUAGAUUGAUCAGAUUCGGGUUAAACAGUUAGGGGAUGAUUCUUUAGUUUUGAGAUUUCAUCAGGUGGAGGAUGGUAGUAUGUCUAAUUUUAGGCUGAACAGUGAUGCGGUUUUGUGUUUUUGAGGAUGGGUCUGUGUGCCUAACGACUUCGAUUUGAGGCAGUCCACUCUGCGGGAAGCACAUAGUAGCUCAUAUGCUAUUCAUCCCGGUGGAAACAAGAUGUAUCAUGAUUUGCAUAAGUUAUACUGGUGGUCGGGGUUGAAACGAGAGGUAACAUAUUUUAUUUCUCAGUGUCUAACGUGCCAGCAGGUUAAGGCUGAGCACGAAUUUCCUUCGGGUUUACUUCAACCCAUUAAGAUUCCCCUAUGGAAAUGAGAAUAGGUGAUUAUAGACUUCGUUAGUGGGUUGCCCUUAACACCCACUAAGAAGAAUUCUGUGUGGGUCAUCAUAGAUCGGCUGACCAAGGCUGCCCACUUCAUUCCUGUUAGGACAUAUUACUCCCUUCAGAAGUUGGCUAAGUUAUAUGUUUCUAAGAUCGUGAGAUUUUAUGAGGUUCCUAUCUCAAUUAUUUUUGAUAGAGAUCCUCGCUUCACUUCUCGAUUUUGGAAAAAGUUCCACGAGGCUCUAGGUUCGAGAUUGGACUUUAGUACUGCGUUCCAUCCUUAGACUGAUGGUCAAUUUGAGAGCGUGAUUCAGAUAUUGGAGGAUGUGAUUCAAAAUUCUGUGAUCGAUUUUCAAGGUAGUUGGGAGGAGUUUCCGCCGUUAGUCGAGUUUGCCUAUAAUAACAGUUUCUAGUCUAGUAUUCAGAUGGCACCUUACAAGGCUAUGUAUGGUCGUAAGUGUCGUACUCUGUUAUGUUGGACUGAGUUGGGUGAGCGACGGGUUUUGGGUCUUGAGUUGGUUUUCGAGACUGAGGAUAAAGUUAGACUGAUUCGGGAUCGGCUUAAGGUGGGUUUUGAUAGAUAGAAGUCUUAUUCGGAUCUAAAGAUGCGAGAUAUUGAGUAUUCUGUGGAGGACUAUGUUUUUCUUAAAGUAUCUCCGUGGAAGAAGGUUCUACGGUUUGGAUGUAAGGGCAAGUUGAACCCCAGGUUCAUUGGACCGUAUCAAAUUCUGAAACGUGUGGGACCAAUCGCCUAUCAGUUAGAGCUACCUCCAGAGCUGAAUUGUAUUCAUGAUGUGUUCCAUGUCUCCAUGUUGAGGUGGUAUCAGUUGGACCUCUCUCAUAUUCUUUUUGUUGAGGAGAUUGACAUUAGACUGGAUUUGACAUUUGAGGAGGAGCCGAUUUAGAUUAUGGAUCGAGACGUUAAAGUCUUGAGAAGGAAGUCCAUUCCUUUGGUAAAGAUUCUGUGGCGGAAUCAUGGUAUUAAGGAAGCUUUGUGGGAACCUGAGGACUUGAUUAGACAACAAUAUCUGCAUCUGUUUGAAUCAGGAUGUUCGAGAGACGAUCAAUGAUCCUCCAGCGACUUAAAAUUCGUGUAGUUGCUGUCUGUUAAGUGGUGUGGGAGUACCCGAUUAUUGAUUUCAUGUCAGAAAACCUCCAGGUGUGUAAUGAGAAACCCGAAAAUCAGCAAACGAUAAAAGCCGAAAAACAACAUUGUCAAUGUCACAAGGCCGUGUGUUAGGC
Gossypium raimondii (Peruvian cotton) is the source of this 2215-nucleotide long non-coding RNA. RefSeq lists it as uncharacterized. Lineage: Eukaryota; Viridiplantae; Streptophyta; Magnoliopsida; Malvales; Malvaceae. The transcript is spliced from 3 exons. The record is from RefSeq and is a predicted model, not a curated record.